CUUCAGCAGUAAAAAUUAUACUUAAAUUGGAACGAUACUUAUAGAGAAUAUUUAGCAUGGUAGCAUGGUCCCUGCGAAAGGUUGAUAAAAAUUUUAAAGCGUCCCACAUUUUU
This is a small nuclear RNA of Maniola jurtina (meadow brown), 113 nucleotides long. NCBI's taxonomy places the organism in Eukaryota, Metazoa, Arthropoda, Insecta, Lepidoptera, Nymphalidae. The record is from RefSeq and is a predicted model, not a curated record.